GGAAGAUGCAUAUGCUUCUGCUAUAUUUUUUCUUUUAAAGGACAAAGUACAUGAUUUGGCUGGUGAUGACUAUAGGAGCUCUGUUUUGGAGUCCAUUAAAGCAUGGAUACAGGCUGUGCCCCUUCAGUUCUUACGAGCACUUCUUGAUUACCUUGGAGAUUUUACUAACUGCAAUGACCCUUCCCCUGGCCUGAAAUCUCCCCUGGCAU
RNAcentral lists this unclassified non-coding RNA (209 nucleotides) under Hevea brasiliensis (rubber tree). Lineage: Eukaryota; Viridiplantae; Streptophyta; Magnoliopsida; Malpighiales; Euphorbiaceae. The record is from RNAcentral.